UACGUAGGAGACGAGCGUUAUCCGGAUUUAUUGGGCGUAAAGAGCAUGUAGGCGGGCUCUCAAGUCGGACGUGAAAUCUCUCGGCUCAACUGAGAGGGGUCGUUCGAUACUAGGAGUCUUGAGGGCAGGAGAGGGGAGUAGAAUUCCCGGUGUAGUGGUGGAAUACGUAGAUAUCGGGAGGAAUACCAGUGGCGAAGGCGGCUCCCUGGCCUGUGCCUGACGCUGAGAUGCGAAAGCGUGGGUAGCAAACGGGAUUAGAUACCCCCGUA
RNAcentral lists this ribosomal RNA (269 nucleotides) under uncultured prokaryote. RNAcentral describes it as "partial 16S ribosomal RNA". It matches the Rfam family "Bacterial small subunit ribosomal RNA", at positions 524 to 792 of the family's 1533-position model. The record is from RNAcentral.